Betaproteobacteria bacterium RIFCSPLOWO2_12_61_14 is the source of this 116-nucleotide non-coding RNA. The record is from Rfam. Lineage: Bacteria; Pseudomonadati; Pseudomonadota; Betaproteobacteria.
ACAGGCAAAUCUGGAGAGCGUCGGAUUGGGAUUUAUGGAAACAUCCAAAACCGACCACCGAAGGGGCACGCAAUGCGAAUUGCAAUCUCUCAGGUACCAAGGACAGAUGGGGCGCA